AUUAUUUUAAGAUUAUUUUUUAUUGUUGAAAAAAUUAAAAAUAAAUUGUUUUUAACAAAAAUUAAAAUUUAUAAUAUUUCAUUUUUUGGUUUUUUGUUUUAAAUUAAAAUAAUAAAUAUGGGGGAAAAAAAAAUUUUGUUAUAAAUUAUAUUAGUUUAUUUUAAUUAAAAAUAUUUUUUAUUAAAUUUGUUUUUUUUAUUUUUUUAUAAAAAAUAUUAAUUUAAUUAUUAUUAUUGAGUUUAAUUUAGUUAUUUUUAAAAAAAUUUUGUAUAAAAUAAAUUUGAUAAUAAAUGUUUUUUAAAUUCUUUGGGGGUUUAGUUUAUGAUUUUU
This 330-nucleotide ribosomal RNA is filed under the name Meloidogyne enterolobii. RNAcentral describes it as "partial 16S ribosomal RNA". The record is from RNAcentral. Lineage: Eukaryota; Metazoa; Nematoda; Chromadorea; Rhabditida; Meloidogynidae.